UACGAAGGGGGCUAGCGUUGCUCGGAAUCACUGGGCGUAAAGGGUGCGUAGGCGGGUCUUUAAGUCAGGGGUGAAAUCCUGGAGCUCAACUCCAGAACUGCCUUUGAUACUGAAGAUCUUGAGUCCGGGAGAGGUGAGUGGAACUGCGAGUGUAGAGGUGAAAUUCGUAGAUAUUCGCAAGAACACCAGUGGCGAAGGCGGCUCACUGGCCCGGUACUGACGCUGAGGUACGAAAGCGUGGGGAGCAAACAGG
This 253-nucleotide ribosomal RNA is filed under the name uncultured bacterium. Its description in RNAcentral is "partial 16S ribosomal RNA". It matches the Rfam family "Bacterial small subunit ribosomal RNA", at positions 524 to 776 of the family's 1533-position model. The record is from RNAcentral.